Molecule: long non-coding RNA, 3425 nt
Filed under: Pseudonaja textilis
Lineage: Eukaryota; Metazoa; Chordata; Lepidosauria; Squamata; Elapidae
Description: lncRNA (ENSPTXG00000018691.1)
Source: RNAcentral
UACAGUCGGGGUCUCCGACUCUGAAGAACUCCAACGUCGAUGCCUCAACUUUGGAGACCAACUCUGCUGGGGUGGGGCAGAAGGUUGAGGUCCAGACCGUAGACCCUGGGGUUGCCCAUGAGAAGGUUGCUCCAGACUUUCCAAGUCUUGAAAGGAAAGGAGAGUCGGUGGAGGCACCUAAAGAUCUUGAGAAGAUCUUCAAGAAGGACAGUGAGGUCAAAGAAGUUGUGACUCUUUCAGCCGAACCAACCCAAGAAGUGACUUGUUCUCUUCCUCAAGACAGAGAAGAAAGCACAGGUAUCUCAGGGACCCUCAAAGAAAGACCACGGAGCAGAAGAUCUGAUUUUCAUUCUGCCAAAACUCCAUUCGUGGUGGAAACCAAGUCCGAUCCAGCCCAACCCUUGUUUGCUGCUGAUACUCUUGGUGGUGGCCCACUGUUCUUCACCAGCCCAACAGAAGACCUCCUCGAUGUCCGCCCUCCAGAACAUCCAACCAGUCUCAGGUUGAGACACGACCAACCCAAGAAGAGGGGCAGUGAUGGGAAAAGCAGGAAAGGAAAGCAUCUCCCAGAGUUGGAAGAGAAGGUUGGCUUGAGCCAAGCUUCAACGGCGGAAGACAUUGAGGGCCUGGGCGAAAUCGGUUGGACAACCAGGACCCCGGAAGAAACUUUUUCCACCUCUCCAGGAGUGAGAGAGAAGCCGAAGAAGAGAUCUAGCGUGGGGAAGAGCAGAAGAGCUGAGGACAGGAGCUCCUUCAGACAACCAUUUGUCUCUACCACAGAAGUUCAUGAGAUGUUUGACCAAACCCAACAGAGACCAGAUGAACCGAAAGAAGGGAUGAAUGUCUUAGCUACAAGCCAACAGUUGGACAGCACUACAGACGGUGUGAAGCAAUCAAGUCCACCGUCUGUCACCUUGAGUGAAAACCUCGGAGGUUCUCCAACUGGACCUGGUCAAAGGGUUGACCUUCCUCCAUCAGCAUAUCCCUUUAUCUUGGAGGUCCCUGGAAAGCAGACAGAAGGCCAGCUUCUCCUAGAGUCGACGGUCCAAGGCCAGGAAACAGGCGGGCCAAAUCAAAACAAGGGACCCCCCUUGGCAAGCUCCCCUGGAGGAGACCCCGCCUUCGUGUGGGCCACCAACAAACCCAAGAAGAGAAGCAGCGAUGGGAAAAGCAAGACAUCUCACAAAGGUCCCUCCAGGGAACCCCCACUGGGCCUGGAGAAGACGUUGGAUGGGACGGUGUCUUCAAAGAACAAUGAUUUGGUUAACAAAGGUUCUCCUGAGAAGAAGAGCCAAGGGCUAGAACUUCCUGGCACCCUCCAACUCCCUGCUGAAAAACCGCCAGGAACGACGGGAGGAAAAGAGGAGAAGAAGGUUGACUCUGGGCAGCUGUCCACCUUGAAGGAGAAAGUCAGCACUCCUAAGACAGAAGAACUCCAUAAAAUCAAAGAAACGCCAUCUAAGGAGCAGGAAGCCAGCCGAGAUCAAGUUGGAGAAGGUCCGCCCAAGCCACAUUCUGUCCUCCCUCAAGUCCUGGAAGAAGUGAAGAAACAGGAGACCAAUGGUCAAAGUUUUCAAGUUCCUAAAGUCUUGGAGAUGAAGGCAGAACCUUCUGGUGAAGACCACCAAGGAGUUAAGAUGGAGGAGGUCCCCGCCUUUGAUGGCACCAGGAAGGAGCGAUCGGAACAUCUCAAGCAUCCAGAACCUCCAGGCCAGGUUCCUGAUAAGCUCUUCGUUGAUGGCACUUUUGGAGGACAAGAGAAAGGAAAGAGUAGACAAGAUGUGCGUACUUUGGAACCAUCGGUCCAUUUGCUGGGCAAGUUGGAUACCGGAACAGUCAUAGAAGAAGGUGAGAGAAAGAUGAAGACCAAAAAAGAUGGGGACCCUGAUCUUCCAGAUCUUCAACCCCCACUUGUGAAACCUGAAAAGAAGAAGAGUGGCGAGAAGAAAAGCAAGAUUAUCCCUCAGGAACCUGUGGUUGCCCAACGAACUAAGGAAGAGGUCAGCCAUGAAGAAGAACCUCAGAGGCUUGGUGGAUUGAGCUUCACCAUAGGAGAAGCAGAGGUCGUCGAUGAAAACAGGAACAUCAAAAGCUUCCCUCCUGGCCGUCCGCUGCAUUGGGAAGAGGACCUCACAAAUGUCUUUGACCCAGCUGGACCUCUUGAGGAAUCCACGUCCAAAACUCGAGGUCCCACCUGCCCGUUUUUAGAAGCUCACUUCCCCAAGUUGGCUGGCGAGCCAAGCCAGGAGCCAUUUUUUCUUCCCGAAUUCCUACAAUCUGCAAAGCCAGGGGAUCAGAAGAUCCUGGAGGAGCUCCAGGAGAACUUGGCCAAACUUGACGGUCAAGAGGCAGAAGCUUCCCUGGUCGUGAAAGCUGGGGAUGACAUCCGGGAAAAGAGGAAGAAGAACAAGCGGACCCCGGCAGACCGCCUCUUCAAAACGGAGAAGCAAAGCGGAGGAACGUACCUUGGAGACAAAAGCUAUGGACUUGGUUCACCAGAAAUGGUGGUGGAGAAGCUAGAGACGGCUCCUGGGCUGGUGGCUGAAGGAAGAGGUUGGGUUGGAGAAGGCAGUGACCUCCCUAUGGAAACCCAAACUCUGAAGGAAUCCAAGGAGGAAGUGUCAACUCCUCAGACCGUAAUGACUGUCUUCCACGGUGGUGGAACUUCUGAGCCAGGAGUGUUAGCAGAAGAUAGACGAGAAGAUGAAGCAAGGCCUUCUGAGCAUCCGGACCGUUUAGGAAGUCAGACAAGGACAGAUAAGGUCCUGGAGGACGUCCUUCUGGAGGAAGUGGGAGGAAGUGGGCUCGCUUCCGAUCAUCUGGUGUCGGACGACAAGAACCUGGCCAAGGGAGGUCCUCUCCUCCAACCAGCCAGCAAGGAGGAGACGGGACAACUUGGGAAAGCCCAAGAUGCGCCGAACUUGAGAUCGGCAGCCCAAGAACCACAAGCGUCAACUUCUCCGGCUGCCACUGAUCACGAUGGCCACAGGCCCACAGGCGAGACCCAGAAAGCAAGCCGGGCCAAAGCUCCACCACCAAUGAAAGGCUACAUGAGACCCACCAAGUCAAGAGGACUUCCUCUUCCUCCUCCAUCUGUCCCUUCCCCAAAGGAUGGAGCUCCGGACCUAGGCAGAAGAAGACCUCCCCGACCUGAUGGCCUCCACAGGCGAGACAAAGAAGAGGUGAAGGCACCUGCUGAGGUCCCGUCGGCAGAAGACACAGCUGCCCUUCCCAGCAAGGCCCUUCCCCCGAGCCCGGAGAAGAAGACCAAGGUGAGAUUCCUUCGACGCUUCCUGCUUUGGACACGCUUGAUUUUUCCAGCCUGCUGCUUCUAAGCUGUAGCGCUAAGGUCUGUUCUCUGAGAUGAUCUUUGAGGAGAAGCUCCUUGCAACCUGUUGGAACGGCGGCGGUCUCCACCUUAGUCA